Molecule: ribosomal RNA, 253 nt
Filed under: uncultured bacterium
Lineage: Bacteria
Description: partial 16S ribosomal RNA
Rfam family: Bacterial small subunit ribosomal RNA
Source: RNAcentral
UACGUAGGGUGCGAGCGUUGUCCGGAAUUAUUGGGCGUAAAGGGCUCGUAGGCGGUUUGUCGCGUCGGGAGUGAAAACCAUGGGCUUAACUCAUGGCUUGCUUCCGAUACGGGCAGACUAGAGGCAUGCAGGGGAGAACGGAAUUCCUGGUGUAGCGGUGAAAUGCGCAGAUACCAGGAGGAACACCGGUGGCGAAGGCGGUUCUCUGGGCAUGUCCUGACGCUGAGGUGCGAAAGCGUGGGGAGCAAACAGG